Long non-coding RNA from Heterocephalus glaber (naked mole-rat), 1894 nucleotides. The record is from Ensembl. Lineage: Eukaryota; Metazoa; Chordata; Mammalia; Rodentia; Bathyergidae.
GUAAUUUACAUCUUGUUUUUCCAACUUUUUUUAGCUUCAUGGAGGAAUCAUUGUAACAUUGGGGCUAUGUGUGAAUAUCAUUCAUUGAUCAUUAAAAAGAUACAAGUUUUGGCAAGAACUUUCUAAGAAGGCUGUUGAUGAAGAGCUUGGAAGACAAACCUCAGAAAUGGAUUAUGAAAAAACCUUUAGAAAAUACCAGUGCCUUGUAGUAAAACAAGCUCUUGGGUGUUGCUCUUUAUUUGCUUCUGAAGUGGCUGAGGACGCUGGUACAGAACUGAAGAUGAGGAAUACGAAUAUAGUCCACAUGUGGUGAAGGCUUUUGAUGGGGAUAAUUUUGAGCUGCUUAUUCUCAUUAUAACGUUGUUAAACUCAGUUUGGUUUUUUUUUUUUUUUGGUACCAGGGAUCAAACUCGGGACCUUGCACUUGCAAGGCAGGCAGUGGCACCACUGAGCUAAAUCCCCGGCCAAAACUCAGCAUUUUUAUGGUGAAUAAAAAUAUGGUGGAGGGUGGGGGAUUUAGUAUAUGUGCUGCCGAAGCAAGCAAUAGGGUGGGGGAUUUAGCUCAGUGGUUCCUCUGCCUGCCUGUAAGCACAAGGACCCGAGUUCGAUCCCUGGUGCCAAAAAAAAAAAAAAAAAAGAUAUGGUGGAAAUGGAUAUUGUUGAAAAACUGGUAAAACCGAUACCGUAUGCACGUGAAGAUUUACUGAAUAUCACUCUCCGGCUUUUACUAAACCUGGCCUUUGACACAGGACUGAGGAAUAAAAUGGUACAAGUUGGACUUCUUCCAAAACUCACUGCACUCCUAGGCAAUGAAGACUACAAAUAGCAGUAUGUGUAAGCAUGGAUGAUUGCUUUAAAUCAGUGUUUCCAUACUCUGACUGUAUACCCAGUUAAUGAAGAUGUUCUUUGAAUAUUCAGAUGAAUUGAUUUGAAAUUCAUUUCUCUCUGCAUUAACCUUCCAAAGAGACAAAUGUUCUGUGAAGGAAAUGGGCGGAAGGUGCUCAUGAAAAGGAAAUUCAAGGAUCCAUUGCUCUGAUGAAAAUGAUCAGAAACAUUUCCCAGAAUGAUGGACUAAAAAUCUGUUUAUUGAUUAUGCUGGGGACCUUACAGCCCAGCUCUCUUAAUGAUGAAGAGGAGGAUUUUGUGAUUGAAUUUGCUCUGGCAGGGGCUGGGGAUUUAGUUCAGUGGUUUUGCUGCCUGCUGUGCAAGCGCAAGGACCAGAGUUCAAUUCCCGGUACCUAAAAAAAAAAGGAAAAGAAUUUGCUCUGGCAAAUCUGACCUUUCUAGACUUGGACUGAGAACUGGUUCUUAAGGAGUACAAGUUGGUUCCAUACCUCAAGAAUAAAAUAAAACCAGGUGCAGAAGAUGACCUUGUCUUAGAAGUGGUUGAAACAACUGGAACUGUAUCUGUGGAUGACUCUGGUGCUACAAUGCUAGCUAUAUCUGGGGCAGUCUGCCCUUACUGAAUUGCUGAGUGCUCAAUAAGAAGAUGAUGAAUUUGUGUGUCAGAUAAUUUUUCUUCUACCAUAUGGUUUUCCACCAAGCCAUGAGAGACAUCAUCAUCAAGGAAACAGGCUCCAGCAUAUCUCAUAGAUCUGAUGCGUGAUAAAAAUAAUGAAAUCUGAGUCUGUGAAAAAACCCUAGGUAUUAGAAUAUGAUGACGAAUGAGCUAAGAAAAUUCAGAGGGAAGAGUUUUGCUGGCAUAACUCUCAGCAAAGAGGUGGAGAUCGAUGGUAGGGUCGUCAGAUUAACUCCAGCUCCUCCUGUCUUCUGUUGAGUACAGUUGAUGCCAACACUGUUCAUUCAUCCGGCCGCAUCUUGAUGCUGAAUAACACUUCCCAUGAGACUCAAAAGUGAAUAUUGAAAAGCUAUUAGACUGGAAAAAAAAAAAACC